AGGAACAUGUUCUAAUCCUAGUACUAAAUUAACCAAGAAAAAUUCUUCUUUCAAUUCAUAUAAGAGAGAUGGGAGUUUUUGUGAUCUUUUUGAUCUUUUGCCAAUUACAUUUUGGGUACUUUAUUUAAGGAACAACACCUUCACGUAGGAGGUUGGAGGGCCUACCCCCUUCCCCAAUCUAGAUUCAAUGGUGCCCCUUAAAAACAUCAUCGUCACGUAGGAAGUCGGAGGGCCUACCCCCUUCCCCAAUCUAGAUUAAAUGAUGCCUUUUAAAGUUUCUUUUCCAAGAUAACAUUACCUUCACGUAGGAAGUCGGAGGGCCUACCUCCUUCCCCAAUCUAGAUUCAAUAAUGCAACCUUGAAAUAAAUUUUGAGCUUGGCUUUUUAUAAUCUCCUUUAAACUAACUUAUAUUAUUUUUACUUUGAGAAUUUUUAAAGAUUAACGUACAACUAAAAUUAGAACGCAUUUCCUUAAAAUACCUAUUCAUACAUUUACUCAAGGGAAGCAACUUGUGCAUUUUUUUUAUUCACUUUAAAACAAGAUGUGGGUAUAUAAGGAGAACUUAAAACACAAGAGUUUACUUUCAUGUACAAGAAACGACCAAUAAGAGGAGACAAUAAAAAAAAAAUUAUGUCAUGAUUUUUCAAUAAAAACAAGCUACUUAAUCAUGCCUUUCACUAUGAAACAAAACAAAAAGAAUAAAGUUCAAGGGAGUUUGGAAACACUACGACUAAAGACACUUUAUUAGGCUCCCCCCACACUUAGGAGAAGCAUUGUCCUCAAUGAUUCAAGAUAGAAGAAAGAGAAGAAGGAGAAGAACGAGAUAGAGAUUGAAGAGAUAAGGUGAAAAAGAGGAAGAGGAAAGCUCACAUUUUUAUUGAGGUCCAUAGGGAGGACCUUGGAGGUGGAAGUGUUGCAUCAUGUUCCGAAGCAUUUGGUUAUUCUCUUCGGAUAUGCGGUUGCCUCUUAGGACAUCAUUCCUUAGCCCGGAUAAUUCAACACCUUGCCUUUGUUGUUCGGUGCUUAUCCUUUGUACCUCAGUUUGCAUCCAUGCCCAUCUUUCAUUGUUGGCAUUAUGGUCAUGGGGCUCCUCUUU
This 1097-nucleotide long non-coding RNA is filed under the name Medicago truncatula (barrel medic). RNAcentral describes it as "long non-coding RNA (MTRU_LNC006131)". Lineage: Eukaryota; Viridiplantae; Streptophyta; Magnoliopsida; Fabales; Fabaceae. The record is from RNAcentral.